Molecule: small nucleolar RNA, 135 nt
Filed under: Procavia capensis (Cape rock hyrax)
Lineage: Eukaryota; Metazoa; Chordata; Mammalia; Hyracoidea; Procaviidae
Description: Small nucleolar RNA SNORA9 (ENSPCAG00000019904.1)
Rfam family: Small nucleolar RNA SNORA9
About the family: ACA9 is a member of the H/ACA class of snoRNA that guide the sites of modification of uridines to pseudouridines.
Source: RNAcentral
UUGCAGGCCUCCAGCGUGCCGGGGUCUGGAGUAGCCCUGUGCAUUCCUGCAGUGCUUGCAAGAAUAGUAUUGAAGUGGUUUGAGGGCUUGUUCUACAGCAUCUACAGAGCAAGGUUAUAGAAAUUUCAGAUGGUU